RNAcentral lists this ribosomal RNA (1722 nucleotides) under Phacus orbicularis. RNAcentral's name for it is "bacterial LSU rRNA". It matches the Rfam family "Bacterial large subunit ribosomal RNA", at positions 1022 to 2761 of the family's 2925-position model. Lineage: Eukaryota; Euglenozoa; Euglenophyceae; Euglenales; Phacaceae. The record is from RNAcentral.
AUAGCCAGAUCACCAGAUAAGGCCCCCAAAUAACUACUAAGUGAAAAAGGAUGUAUUAACACAUAGACGACCAGGAGGUUUGCUUAGAAGCAGCCAUUUUCCUUUAAAAAUUGCGUAAUAGCUUACUGGUUAAGUGUUUUUGCGCCGAUAAUGAAUGGGGCUAAGUAGUUUGCCGAAGCUGUGAGUAUAUAACGGUAGGAGAGCGUUCUGUUUGGGCUGAAGCAGUAAUGAAAAUAAUUGUGGACUAUACAGAAGUGAGAAUGUCGGCUUAAGUAACGAAAACAUUGGUGGGAAUCCAAUGCUCCGAAAACCUAAGGUUUCCUUCUCAAGGUUCGUCCAAGAAGGGUUAGUCAGAUUCUAAGAUGAAGCCUAAUGGUUUAUUCGAUGAUAAACAGGUUAAUAUUCCUGUACUACAUAGUGGAAUCAAUUAAGGAGGACAAAGUAAGUUAGGUUUGCCAAAGAUUGGUUGUUUUGGUUUAAGCUCUCGAGGUGUUGAGGGGUAUAAUUAAAAAAUAUUUUGAGCUAAGAAGUGAAAUUAAGAUGCUACGGUGUUGAAAAAACUGAUAUUAAGCUUUCUAGAAAAUUCCUUGCAAUGGCAUUUCCGUGUAGCUGUACCGUAAACCGACACAGGUGGGUAGGUAGAAAAUACUAAGGAGAGCGAGUUAAAUCUUUUUAAGGAACUCGGCAAAUUAGCCUUGUAACUUCGGGAGAAAAGGUGCCUUAUGAAAAUAAGGUUGCAGUGAAUAGUUCCAGGCGACUGCUUACCAAAAGCACAGGUCUCCGCUAAGUUGUAAAACGAUGUAUGGGGGCUGAUGCCUGCCCAGUGCUGGAAGGUAAAAGAAACUUGUUAGUGUUUACACAAAGCUAGUGACUGAAGCCCCAGUAAACGGCGGUGAUAACUAUAAUCAUUUUAAAGUAGCGAAAUUCCUUGUCGGGUAAGUUCCGACCUGCACGAAAGGCAUAACGAUCUGGAAACUGUCUCAAAAAGAUUCUCGGUGAAAUAGAAUUAACUGUGAAGAUGCGGUUAACUUGCACUUGGACAGAAAGACCCUAUGAAGCUUUACAGUAGCCUGAUAUUGGUUUCGGACUUUUUUUGCGCAGAAUAGGUGGGAGGCGUUGAAGCAUUUUUUUGGAAAUGUGGAGCCAUCAGUGAGAUACCACUCUGAAAAAGUUAGAGAUCUAAAGAUAUUUCCUUAAUAAAGGAUAUUUGACAGUGUCAGGUGGGCAGUUUUACUGGGGCGGUAGCCUCCCAAAAGGUAACGGAGGCGUACAAAGGUUUUCUCAAACAGGCCGGAAAUUUGUUGUAGAGUGUAAAGGCAUAAGAAAGCUUAACUGUUAGACCUAUAAGUCAAGCAGGGACGAAAGUCGGUCUUAGUGAUCCGGCAGUUCCAUAUGUGAGGGCUGUCGCAUAACAGAUAAAAGUUACUCUAGGGAUAACAGGCUGAUCUCCUCCAAGAGUUCACAUCGACGAGGAGGUUUGGCACCUCGAUGUCGGCUCAUCGCAUCCUGGGGCAGUAGUAUGUCCCAAGGGUUGGGCUGUUCGCCCAUUAAAGCGGUACGUGAGCUGGGUUCAGAACGUCGAGAGACAGUUCGGUCCAUAUCCGGUGCAAGCGUAGGAGUAUUGAAAGGAUCUUUUUUUAGUACGAGAGGACCGAAAAAGACACACCUCUGGUGUACCAGUUCUUAUGCCAAUAGGAUAUGCUGGGUAGUCAAGUGUGGAGU